RNAcentral lists this ribosomal RNA (253 nucleotides) under uncultured bacterium. RNAcentral's name for it is "partial 16S ribosomal RNA". It matches the Rfam family "Bacterial small subunit ribosomal RNA", at positions 524 to 776 of the family's 1533-position model. The record is from RNAcentral.
UACGGGGGGGGCAAGCGUUGUUCGGAAUUACUGGGCGUAAAGGGCUCGUAGGCGGCCAACUAAGUCAGACGUGAAAUCCCUCGGCUUAACCGGGGAACUGCGUCUGAUACUGGAUGGCUUGAAUCCGGGAGAGGGAUGCGGAAUUCCAGGUGUAGCGGUGAAAUGCGUAGAUAUCGGGAGGAACACCAGUAGCGAAGGCGGCUCGCUGGGCCAUUCCUGACGCUGAGACGCGAAAGCUAGGGGAGCGAACAGG